GGGCAUGCAAAAACACAUCUACAUGUCUUCUGUAUAUGGUGCGGUGACAAUUAUAAUUGAACACGUAUAAAAAAUAAUAAUUUAAGAAACGCAUCUCAUUUUUAAAUCAUUCACAAGUUGGGUGAACUCUUCAAUCAAAUAUUUGUUGGUCUUCAUGGUCCUUGAAGAGUAAUUUACUGAUUGAUAUGAUUACCGAUUGAUUUACAGAAUGGACAGCCAACAAGGAGACACACUAGAGUUUUAAGAAUUGAAACUUGUAACCUUUGAUUAUGGAGAGUCAACAACUACAUUGCAGAGGGUACAGAUCAAACCGGCAAUAACCAACGCGACAUACCUGAUGUUGUAGCUACCAGCAACGUUUCAGUACCAGUGUAUACAAUAAUGCAGCCUCCUCUUCCCCAGGGAUAGGCAGUUUUGCAAGUCCACCUGAAAGUGCAAUAGCUUUGUUAUCAUUAAUUGCCAGUUUCAGCAGAUUUAGAUGCGUGGCAAAGAGCUAAUUGAAUAAAAAAAGAAAGUAAUAUAGGCAAACAUAACGGGUGAAUGAGAUGCAUUAAACAAAAGAAACGAUAAAAAUAAAAGAAAAUAGAGAUUAAAAGUACUACCAUAUACAAGUGUUCUAAUCAAGAAAGAAAAAAUUUAUCCACCACAAUUGAACACAAUCUAUGUAGAAAGGAGUUGGAACCAACAAUCUAAUCAGUUUUCCUCUAGCUCCUCGUUGCUCGGCUGGUCGGGUUGUUGCUCAGCUUGAGGCCAGUACUGCUACAUUGGGC
This 770-nucleotide long non-coding RNA is filed under the name Daucus carota (carrot). Its description in RNAcentral is "long non-coding RNA (DCAR_LNC004645)". The record is from RNAcentral. Lineage: Eukaryota; Viridiplantae; Streptophyta; Magnoliopsida; Apiales; Apiaceae.